Molecule: long non-coding RNA, 3941 nt
Organism: Oncorhynchus tshawytscha (Chinook salmon)
Lineage: Eukaryota; Metazoa; Chordata; Actinopteri; Salmoniformes; Salmonidae
Source: Ensembl
GUCAUAGCUUUAACUUGGUCAGUCUAUGUCAUGGGAAAGAGCAGGUGUCCUCAAUGUUUUGUAUUAUCAGUGUGUGUAGUAACCUGGUACAGUAUAAAGUAUACCACUAGAGGGGAUUAUUGCUUCAGUCUUGAAUGUUACUUCUCACUAUCCCUACAUUAAAAGUCUGCCAUUGUAGACUCCGGUAACUUCGGUAUCUUAGUUUUUUAUAUUUGCCAUUAAUGUCUGAACCAUUUCCCGUCUUUCCCACUGAAACCAGUAAUGUGAGCGUUCAUGUGAGAGAGGGUAGUAGUGCAUACUGACCACUAGUUGGAUCAUAGUGUGGGUGGUGGAGUUUAUGCAGGAACACAGAGGGUAGAGGCAUUCUCCAUCACAGUAGAAGGCAGAGUAACCCGUAGGAGCCAAUACCCAGUCCUAAUGGAGAGAAAUACCAUAGAAAUCGAAUGACAAGAUUAGAUGAAUGACUAGAACAGACUCUUUCUAUGAGAAAUACAUGAUAAAGAAUGCAAAGAACAUUCUCUACAAUGCACAUCCUACACAAAUGCCUUGCUUCCCUAAAAUACGAACUGUCUGUUACAGCAAAUAAGGUGGUACAAUGUUAGCUCAUGAUUAUCUAUUCAGUACAAUGAGCAGUUAAGAGAGACAGAAUCUCACCUUCUAGCCUUGUUCACUGAAUCUCACAGAUAAUUCAUGUCUCUUACAAGCCUGACGCCCACUGUUGACAUGGCUGUGAUCUGAAAGGGACCAAAAAAUAUGUUAUGAACCAGGAAAGACUAAUGUACACUUUGGAUGCAUUGGAUUUCAAAUGAAAUGUAAACGUAACUUAAGUCAUUUUGUAAUUUGGAUGUUUUAUCCCUUUAAACUGUGUAUAAAACAAGUUUAACUACAAGAUGAAAAACCAGUGUUGUCCCCUGACCUUGUAUGUAUACUGGGCAAGGGCAGAUCGUAUUUGGGCUUCUUCUUAUGGGGUUUGGGUUUCAGGGCGACAGGGGGACUGGUUGGCCCUGAAGAAGUUGGUUAGAUGAGUACUUGAAGGCUUAUAUCUAUAUUUUGGAAUAUUGGAUUUUAAUUUCGGGAGGCUUUCAUCAUGGAAAAGGGACCAGACCAUUUUUUUUGUUAGUUAACCUAAACGAAUCACGACCCUCUAUAGAAUAACAACAGUGACAACAGUUGACUGCUAUUUAAGUAAUCAUUUGACUGUCAAAUCCAUGUAUUGGUGUGUGGCCAUUGACUUUUAUGGAGAGGCCGCCCCACAUUUUCUGUGCCAUUUCCUGGGCAUUUCAUUAACUCCGUGUUCUAAGUUCUGCGCAUCCCAGCGCUUGGAAAAAUCAAUGGUACAAGACCUAAGAUAUUGAUCUUUUAGGAGGUGCAUAAUGGGCUGCAGGGAAGUCAGGCGUAGGAGAGCAGAACUGGGUUAUAACCGGAGCAGUUUAAUGAGGAGAAAACCAACAGCACCCAGAACAACAAAAUAUGGGUUGAAAUAACCCAUCGCAAACCAGUCUGAAGUGCACAUACACUUUACAACAAACAAUUCCACACACAGACAUGGGGGGAACAGAGGGUUAUAUACACGUCAAGCAAUGAGGAAAUGUAAACCAGGUGUGUGGGAAAACAAGACAAAACAAAUGGAAAAUGAAAGGUGGAUCGGCGAUGGCUAAUAUACAAUUUACUAUGGCAAAGAAAUUCAACAUGUCAAUUUAAGAUGAUUGUAUUUGUUGCCUACUCACAAAGUAUUACCAAAAGUACAGUGUAGGAUCGGAGGUACUGGGGGAUGGAAUGGACGGACCCCGAUCCGGACGUCCGCAGGUGGCCAACAGGUUAUCCAGCUGGUCGAGGGUAAGGGUGGUGUCCCUGCAGGCCAGCUCCCGACGAAUGUCCCCACAUAGACUACACCGGUAAUGGUCGAUCAGGGCCCUCUCAUUCCAUCCCACGCUGGCAGCCAGGGUCCUGAAGUCCAGGUGACGGAGGGGUGGACAGUGGUGUGGGUUGUGGUGUUGGUUGGGGUGAAGUUGAUGGAGGUGUGGGAAAACCCCCUCUCUCCCAUCGUUCCAUGGUGAGCAGCACGCGAUCCAUGGCUGUGCCAAGAUGUUGGAGCAUAGUCGCGUGUUGCUGGACGCGUUCCUCUACUGGUACAGGAGGACUGGGUGCACCUGCUGAUUCCAUAUUUUUGGUGCGUGAUUCUGUCAAGUGUCAGUGUGCAGAGGUGAGCACGGAGUCAGGCGCAGGACACAGAACUGAGUAAAAUAACGUAGUUUACUCGAAAAAUAAACAAUCAUAAAUUCCACGCAGGGAAAAACACACAAUGACACAGAAGACUAACACUCAACAAGGAACAAUCACGCACAAAACAUCAUGGGAACCAGAGGGUUAAAUAGGGAAAUAAUUAUAACGUAAUGGGAACCAGGUGUGUACAAUCAAGACAAAACAAAUGGAAAAAGAAACGUAGAUCGGUGGUAGCUAGAAAGCCGGUGACAACGACCGCCGAACGCCGCCGGAACAAGGAGAGGCACCAACUUCGGCGGAAGUCGUGACACAACUAAACACCCUGGAUUCUUUACACAAACAUUGAAAGGCAACAAUCGCAAAUUUGGACUCAUCAAACCAAAGUACAGAUUUCCACCAGUCUAAGGUCCAUUGCUCGUGUUUCUUGGCCCAAGCAAGUCUCUUCUUAUUUUUGGUGUCCGUCCUUUAGUUGUGGUUUCAAUGGAGCAAUUCGACUAUGAAGGCCUGAUUCACACAUUCUCCUCUGAACAGUGCAUGUUGAGUUGUGUGUUUCUUGAACUCUGUGAAGCAUUUAUUUGGGCUCCAAUCUGAGGUGCAGUUAACUCUACUAAACGUAUCCUCUGCAGCAGAGGUUACUCUGGGGUCUUCCUCAUGAGAGCCAGAUUCAUCAUAACGCUUCAUGGUUUUUGCGACUGCACUAGAAGAAUCUUUCAAAGUUCUUGAAAUGUUCCUUAUUGACUGACCUUCAUGUCUUAAGUAACGAUGGACUGUUGUUUCUCUUUGCUUAUUUGAGACUUGGUCUUUUACCAAAUAGGGAUAUCUUCUGUAAACCAUCCCUUCCUUGUCUCAACACAACCUAUUGGCUCAAACGCUUUAAGAAGGAAAGAAAUUCCACAAAUGAACUUUUAAGAAGGUACACCUGUUAAUUGAAAUGCAUUCCAGGUGACUAGCUCAUGAACAGGUUUGAGAGAAUGCCAAGAGUGUGCAAAGUGGUCAAGGAGAAGGAUGGCUACUUUUUUGCUUACUACAUGAUUCCAAUUGUGCUAUUUCAUAGUUUUGAUGUCUUCACUAUUAUUCUAAAAUGUAAAAAAUGGUAAAAAUAAAGAAAAAACAUUAAAUGAGUAGGUGUGUCCAGACUUUUCUGAUUUAAACAAAGCAAUCUGAUCAUACUCCAGUAAAAUACACGCUACAGGGAAUGCAAAAAAAAUGGCUUCUGCAAAGCACAUAUACAUUGUCCAAUCAACAUCCACACAUUGAUUUCAUUCUUCGGGUCUUUAUUCAAACACAAACACAUUUGGAAUAAAAUGCUCUUUCAGUGUUUUGUUGCAGGUUGUGCAAUGUUCAAAAGUGUGUGAGAAAUUAGCAUCAAUGUGUGUGUUUGUGUGUGGGGUCAAGUUUGGACGGUCGUACAUAUGCAAAUAGCCUUGUUUGUAUAUUUCAGGACCAUGGACAGCAGCGACAUAGCGAUAUCUGUCAUCCAGCACUACAUGACAGUAGACAGCGGCCAUCUCAUGUGAAGUUGGCACUGGGGAAAUCCCAAGUAAUGAGAAACGAGGCCAAGGAGGAAAAAAGACUGAAGGAGAAGACUCCCACAGCAACUCUAUGCUAAACUGUUCUGUCACAUUCAUGUCAAAUGUUACAUCUUUAGAUUUGUAAAUAAUAGGGAAUACAUCUGCAAAUAAUUGAAACUGACUACUCAAACUACACUGUACAGCUUU